GCAAGUAUAGUUUCAAACCAAACAUCAGAUUGUGAUUCUGAAAAUAGAAGUUAAACCCUUCUUACUCGCC
Molecule: transfer RNA, 70 nt
Filed under: Prosthemadera novaeseelandiae
Lineage: Eukaryota; Metazoa; Chordata; Aves; Passeriformes; Meliphagidae
Description: tRNA-His
Rfam family: tRNA
About the family: Transfer RNA (tRNA) molecules are approximately 80 nucleotides in length. Their secondary structure includes four short double-helical elements and three loops (D, anti-codon, and T loops). Further hydrogen bonds mediate the characteristic L-shaped molecular structure. tRNAs have two regions of fundamental functional importance: the anti-codon, which is responsible for specific mRNA codon recognition, and the 3' end, to which the tRNAs corresponding amino acid is attached (by aminoacyl-tRNA synthetases). tRNAs cope with the degeneracy of the genetic code in two manners: having more than one tRNA (with a specific anti-codon) for a particular amino acid; and 'wobble' base-pairing, i.e. permitting non-standard base-pairing at the 3rd anti-codon position.
Source: RNAcentral